RNAcentral lists this ribosomal RNA (639 nucleotides) under uncultured bacterium. RNAcentral describes it as "bacterial SSU rRNA". It matches the Rfam family "Bacterial small subunit ribosomal RNA", at positions 9 to 663 of the family's 1533-position model. The record is from RNAcentral.
GAGUUUGAUCCUGGCUCAGGACGAACGCUGGCGGCGUGCUUAACACAUGCAAGUCGAGCGGAAAGGCUCCUUCGGGGGUACUCGAGCGGCGAACGGGUGAGUAACACGUGAGUAACCUGCCCUGGGCUUUGGGAUAACCCUCGGAAACGGGGGCUAAUACCGGAUAUUCACAUGCUGCGGCAUCGUGGUGUGUGGAAAGUUUUUCGGCUUGGGAUGGGCUCGCGGCCUAUCAGCUUGUUGGUGGGGUGAUGGCCUACCAAGGCGACGACGGGUAGCCGGCCUGAGAGGGCGACCGGCCACACUGGGACUGAGACACGGCCCAGACUCCUACGGGAGGCAGCAGUGGGGAAUAUUGCACAAUGGGCGCAAGCCUGAUGCAGCGACGCCGCGUGAGGGAUGACGGCCUUCGCGUUGUAAACCUCUUUCGACCCUGACGAAGCGUAAGUGACGGUAGGGGGAAAAGAAGCGCCGGCCAACUACGUGCCAACAACCGCGGUAAGACGUAUGGCGCAAGCGUUGUCCGGAUUUAUUGGGCGUAAAGAGCUCGUAGGCGGCUUGUUGCCUCAACUGUGAAAACCCGCGUCUUAACCGCGGGCCUGCACUUCAUACGGUCAGGCUAGACUUCUGUAUGAGAGACUG